Long non-coding RNA from Triticum aestivum (bread wheat), 683 nucleotides. RefSeq lists it as uncharacterized. The record is from RefSeq and is a predicted model, not a curated record. Lineage: Eukaryota; Viridiplantae; Streptophyta; Magnoliopsida; Poales; Poaceae. The transcript has 3 exons.
AAACGUAAGCAGUUUGUUCAGUGUUAAUUAGAAUUUACAGAACUUGGCACUGGCUUGAUCUCUGCAUACCUUCUUAUUCGCCUGGUAUCUGAUGAUUUGCCGCUCCGCUUGCAUCGGCCGCCCUGAAUCUCGACCAAUGACUCGCUGUCAGAGUCCGACUCGGUUUCGAGAGCCUGGUUCCCUGAGAUUGUUUCCCUCGGGCUAGCUGCGACCAAAACAAUGCGGCAGCAGGGCAAUUUUGGAAGACAAGAAUAUAAAUCCUAGGAAUUUUGGAGCAGACGAAAACAUCUGCACACAGAUCAGCAAGCUGAAGGUGCAUACCGGAAACGGCGGGCGUUUGCGACUGGGUUGGCGCCGGGGCAGCGUGGUGCGGCGGCGCCCGGAGGCCUUCGGACCACCACAAGUGGCCGGGGUUGCUCCCUUCCAGCUCCAGGGCGUUCUGCUGGAGCACAGGAUGAAAAUUCAGUUAAACGCACGAACAGUGAAGGUACAGAAGCAGAGGCUGAGCUAAGAGGGAAGCUUCGGGCUAGUAGCAGCUGCUCACCGAGUCGCCAAAGCAGAGGCCCGGCAGGCCGCUGCCGGGGGAGAACACGUCCGCUCUGGCGCCGGGGUCGCCGCCGAACCCGCCGUCGUCGUUUCCGUGGCCAGGCCUGCCCCGCUGGGCCUCGGCCUCGGCCUCGGCG